This 454-nucleotide ribosomal RNA is filed under the name uncultured bacterium. RNAcentral describes it as "partial 16S ribosomal RNA". It matches the Rfam family "Bacterial small subunit ribosomal RNA", at positions 28 to 507 of the family's 1533-position model. The record is from RNAcentral.
GAUGAACGCUGACAGAAUGCUUAACACAUGCAAGUCAACUUGAACUUCGGUUUGGGUGGCGGCCGGGUGAGUAACGCGUAAAGAACUUGCCUCACAGCUAGGGACAACAUUUGGAAACGAAUGCUAAUACCUGAUAUUAUGAUUAUAUGGCAUCGUAUAAUUAUGAAAGCUAUAUGCGCUGUGAGAGAGCUUUGCGUCCCAUUAGCUAGUUGGAGAGGUAACAGCUCACCAAGGCGAUGAUGGGUAGCCGGCCUGAGAGGGUGAUCGGCCACAAGGGGACUGAGACACGGCCCUUACUCCUACGGGAGGCAGCAGUGGGGAAUAUUGGACAAUGGACCGAGAGUCUGAUCCAGCAAUUCUGUGUGCACGAUGAAGUUUUUCGGAAUGUAAAGUGCUUUCAGUUGGGAAGAAAAAAAUGACGGUACCAACAGAAGAAGUGACGGCUAAAUACGUG